GGGGUAAGCGUGUAGGAGGAGGACCAGGUAAAUCCGGGCCUCAUAAACUCUGAGACGUGAUACCGAGCCGCUUCAGGCGAAGUCAUUGAUCCUAUGCUGCCUAGAAAAGCCCAGCAGCGAGUUGACAUGGUGCCCGUACCCCAAACCAACACAGGUGGACAGGCAGAGCAUACCAAGGCGAGUGGGAUAACUAUGGUUAAGGAACUCGGCAAAUUGCCUCCGUAACUUCGGGAGAAGGAGGACCCCAGUAGCGUGAUGAGACUUGCUCUCUGAGCGUGAAGGGGUGGCACAAAAUUGAGGGAAGCGACUGUUUACCAAAAACACAGCAGCGUGCUAAGCCGUAAGGCGCUGUAUACGCUGUGACUCCUGCCCGGUGCUGGAAGGUUACGGGGAUGGGUUAGUCCUUCGGGACGAAGCUCUGAACCUAAGCCCCAGUAAACGGCGGCCGUAACUAUAACGGUCCUAAGGUAGCGAAAUUCCUUGUCGGGUAAGUUCCGACCUGCACGAAUGGAGUAACGACUUCCCUACUGUCUCAACCAUAGACCCAGCGAAAUUGAAGUACGAGUAAAGAUGCUCGUUAGCUGCAGAAGGACGGAAAGACCCCGUGGACCUUUACUAUAACUUGAUGUUGUGUUUUGUCAUAUGUUGUGUAGGAUAGGUGGGAGACUUGGAAGCAUGGACGCUAGUCUGUGUGGAGUCAUCGUUGAAAUACCACCCUGCAUAUGGUGAGGCUCUAACCUAGACCCGUUAUCCGGGUUGGGGACAGCGUCAGGCGGGUAGUUUAACUGGGGCGGUUGCCUCCUAAAGAGUAACGGAGGCGCCCAAAGGUUCCCUCAGCCUGGUUGGCAAUCAGGCGUUGAGUGCAAUGGCAAAAGGGAGCUUGACUGCGAGACCUACAAGUCGAGCAGGAGCGAAAGCUGGGCAUAGUGAUCCGGCGGUUGCGUGUGGAAGCGCCGUCGCUCAACGGAUAAAAGGUACCCCGGGGAUAACAGGCUAAUCUUGCCCAAGCGUCCAUAGCGACGGCAAGGUUUGGCACCUCGAUGUCGGCUCAUCGCAUCCUGGGGCUGAAGCAGGUCCCAAGGGUUGGGCUGUUCGCCCAUUAAAGCGGUACGCGAGCUGGGUUCAGAACGUCGUGAGACAGUUCGGUCCCUAUCCUCUGCAGCCGGAGGUGAAUUGAGGAAAGCUGUCCCUAGUACGAGAGGACCGGGACGGACGCAGCUCUCGUGUGCCAGUUGUCCUGCCAAGGGCAUGGCUGGUUAGCGACCUGCGGAAAGGAUAACCGCUGAAAGCAUCUAAGCGGGAAGCCUCUUCCAAGAUGAAUUCACCCACAGGGUUAACCUGGUAGGGCCCGUGGUAGACCACCACGUUGAUAGGCCGGAAGUGUAAGCGUGGCAACACGUUCAGCUGACCGGUACUAAUCGGCCGAGGGCUUGAGCU
This 1437-nucleotide ribosomal RNA is filed under the name metagenome. RNAcentral describes it as "bacterial LSU rRNA". It matches the Rfam family "Bacterial large subunit ribosomal RNA", at positions 1509 to 2925 of the family's 2925-position model. The record is from RNAcentral.